RNAcentral lists this ribosomal RNA (491 nucleotides) under uncultured bacterium. Its description in RNAcentral is "bacterial SSU rRNA". It matches the Rfam family "Bacterial small subunit ribosomal RNA", at positions 29 to 524 of the family's 1533-position model. The record is from RNAcentral.
AAUGAACGCUGGCGGCGUGCCUUACACAUGCAAGUCGAGCGAGGCGGCCCGCAAGGGUCAGUCGAGCGGCGGACGGGUGAGUAACGCGUGGAUAACCUGCCCAGAGGUGGGGGGAUAACCCGGGGAAACUCGGGCUAAUACCGCAUAAUACCGAGAGGUCAAAGGGGGCUCGCAAGAGCUCUCGCCAUUGGAGGGGUCCGCGUCCGAUUAGCUAGUUGGUAGGGUAAUGGCCUACCAAGGCGACGAUCGGUAGCCGGCCUGAGAGGGUGAUCGGCCACACUGGAACUGAGACACGGUCCAGACUCCUACGGGAGGCAGCAGUCGGGAAUUUUGGGCAAUGGGCGCAAGCCUGACCCAGCAACGCCGCGUGAAGGAUGAAAUCCUCGGAUGUAAACUUCGCAAGAACAGGAAGAAUAAGUGGGGACAAUACCCCCCAUGAUGACGUACUGUUUGUAAGCUCCGGCUAACUCCGUGCCAGCCGCCGCUGUAAG